Molecule: long non-coding RNA, 1887 nt
Filed under: Nicotiana tabacum (common tobacco)
Lineage: Eukaryota; Viridiplantae; Streptophyta; Magnoliopsida; Solanales; Solanaceae
Description: long non-coding RNA (NTAB_LNC019051)
Source: RNAcentral
UCCAUAAAGAUAAAAGAAAGUUUUAUUCAUGCAUGCCAUAUUAGUAACCAUAGGAUUACAACCCAAAAUGAAUACUACUAUUGUCUAUGGAAUCUCUAUAACACGGAAUGGAAUAUCCAACCAAGGCAUAACCCGGUUGCUCAAAAGGAUAAUAAUAUAAUAAAGUUCUCCACGGGUACGAGUGUGGAGUCUCACCAAAAGCGUGAACAGAAAAUGUAGAGCCGCCCUAACCGCGCGACUCAAGCUGCUCAGGUCCAGUCCCUGAAAACAUAAAUGGAAAUGUGGCCGAAAGGCCUGAGCUCCACAUGCCUAGUACGAAUUAUGAACCAUUCCUCAAAAGAAAAUAGGACAAGACUUAAGAAGAUAUAAGAUAUGCAAUAACAAUUGACAUAAGAAAAGAAGCCUUCAUAUCAAUUAACAAUUUAGAAAAUAAAAUAAAAUAAUAUGGUAAAACAUAUUUCAAAAUCUUCCUUUAGCAUUAAUCUUUGUAAAUCAUGUUACAAUUUUUAUUUACCGGGAGUAUUAUACCAUCACCGACACGAAAAAAGGUCAACCAGGUUAUGUACCUAGCGGCAAGUAUCAUAUACCCUACUUGCUCAGGUCGUCUCAUCGUUGUGCCGCACGAAUCGACUCAGCCGUGCUAAUAAAGUAGCACAAUAGUACCCCCUAAUGGGAAGUACUCUGUCGUAGUUCCCAACCGUAAGGUAAGUUCUACGCGUACACCGACACGUGUAGUUUCAUGACCUAAUGAGAAAAAAUAUCCAAGGUCAAUCUCGGUGAACUUAAGUAACUCCCAAAACCUUUACAUUAAUCAAUGACAAUGUUUAUAGCCAAAUAAACUAUUUGAAAAUAGUUAAAUCCAAGAUAUUUCACAACUCAUGUAUUUCUAUUUCAAAAAUACUACAAAUGCUAUUCUUUAUUUUAGUUUUUAAAAAAAAAAUUGAAUAACAUUUCAAGAAAAUAAUAUUCAUAGAACUUAAAUCUUUUAUGAUGCAAGAAAUGAUAUAAUCCCAACUCGCUCGUCCCCACAAGCUAGGACUCACAUUUAGAAACUCAAUUUAAUCGUGUUUCGAUAUGAGUUUGGAGAAAAGCUCCGAGGGUAAUAAGUUUCAACGUACCUCAAAUAGUUUUCAACCUUACCCCAAAUGAUCCAAUAAUGCCGACGAGUCACAAUCUACAUAUAUGAACUCACAUAAUUGAAUAGCGCGUCACAACAAUGCCAACUAAGCCAACUAAUUGUCUAACACUUAAGUCCAACUUAAUAAGUUUAUCAAAAAUCCACAUUUCAUCAUUUGAAGGUCAAUCCUUGAAUUAUAACUUCAACUCAUUCAUUAAACUUGUUAUUGGAUCUAGUCGUUCCACUAGAAACUUAAAAUAACAUCGUUCAAGCAAGACCCAACACUAUUCAUCAUCCAUACCAAUCAACUCUUCUAGGAUUUCAUGAAUAGAUAUUUAAAUAUAAAUUUAUCUUCAUAAAAAUACUCUACUACGUCCAUGGAGUAUAAUAUAUAAGUUUGGAGUGAAGAAAUUACUUCUUUGUCAAACCCUAAAAAUUUCAAGAUUUGUGUUCUUGAAGUGCUCUUGAGAUUUUCUUCAAAUAUCUAUAAUUUUUGUGUAAUUGAAGAGUUAAGAGAUGUAUUUAAUAGACCAAAUCUACCAAGAAAGACAUUAAAUUCUUACCUUGAAGAAGUAUUAAUGGUAGAGAGCUCCCUUCUCUCUUUAAGUCUUUAAGAACCAACUCCCAAAUAAUAGCACAACCCUUCCCGUAAUAGCCUUUAAAGACAUUCAGCAGACUGCAGCCAUAAAGGAUGCGUCCCCGUCUACAUCGCGCUCGUCCUUCUCAUUCAGCAAAUUUGGACGUGAGGUUUGACGCUUUCAAUGCAGUUC